RNAcentral lists this ribosomal RNA (604 nucleotides) under Rhodosporidiobolus ruineniae. RNAcentral's name for it is "eukaryotic LSU rRNA". It matches the Rfam family "Eukaryotic large subunit ribosomal RNA", at positions 47 to 663 of the family's 3401-position model. The record is from RNAcentral. Lineage: Eukaryota; Fungi; Basidiomycota; Microbotryomycetes; Sporidiobolales; Sporidiobolaceae.
UAAGCGGAGGAAAAGAAACUAACAAGGAUUCCCCUAGUAGCGGCGAGCGAAGCGGGAAGAGCUCAAAUUUAUAAUCUGGCGCUUUCGGCGUCCGAGUUGUAAUCUCUAGAAGUGUUUUCCGCGUUGGACCGCACAUAAGUCUGUUGGAAUACAGCGGCACAGUGGUGAGACCCCCGUUCACGGUGCGGAUGCCCAAUGCUUUGUGAUACACUUUCGAAGAGUCGAGUUGUUUGGGAAUGCAGCUCAAAUUGGGUGGUAAAUUCCAUCUAAAGCUAAAUAUUGGCGAGAGACCGAUAGCGAACAAGUACCGUGAGGGAAAGAUGAAAAGCACUUUGGAAAGAGAGUUAACAGUACGUGAAAUUGUUGGAAGGGAAACGCUUGAAGUCAGACUUGCUAUUCGGGGCUUGCUCCGAGUUGCAGGCCAGCAUCAGUUUUUCGGGGCGGAAAAUCACGGAUUGAAGGUAGCAGUUUCGGCUGUGUUAUAGCUUUCCGUUGGAUACGUCCUGGGGGACUGAGGAACGCAGUGUGCUUUUAGCGAGGGCUUCGGCUCUUUCACACUUAGGAUGCUGGUGGAAUGGCUUUAAACGACCCGUCUUGAAACACG